AAAGUGGAGCUAAUACCGCGUUAACAUUGCGGGGAGGCAUCUCCUUGCAAUUAAACUUACGGGGAUCCGGGAUGGGCAUGCGUCUGAUUAGCUAGUUGGUGAGGUAACGGCUCACCAAGGCGACGAUCAGUAGGGGAACUGAGAGGUUGAUCCCCCACACUGGCACUGAGAUACGGGCCAGACUCCUACGGGAGGCAGCAGUAGGGAAUAUUGGGCAAUGGUCGGAAGACUGACCCAGCCACGCCGCGUGCAGGAGGAAGGCCCUCUGGGUUGUAAACUGCUUUAGCAGGGGAAGAAAAGGCCCAUGCGUGAGAGAUUGACGGUACCCUGAGAAUAAGCACCGGCUAACUACGUGCCAGCAGCCGCGGUAAUACGUAGGGUGCAAGCGUUGUCCGGAUUUAUUGGGUUUAAAGGGUGCGUAGGCGGCUUGUUAAGUCAGUGUUUAAAUUUUGCAGCUCAACUGUAGGUAAGGCAUUGAUACUGGUGAGCUUGAAUAUCAGAGAGGUAGCUGGAAUUUAUGGUGUAGCGGUGAAAUGCAUAGAUACCAUAAGGAACACCGAUAGCGGAGGCAUGUUACCAUUUGAUGAUUGACGCUGAGGCACGAAAGUGUGGGGAUCAAACAGGAUUAGAUACCCUGGUAGUCCACACUGUAAACGAUGAUUACUAGAUGCCGGGCAGUUGUGUUCGGUGUUCAAGCGAAAGCGAUAAGUAAUCCACCUGGGGAGUACGACCGCAAGGUUGA
Molecule: ribosomal RNA, 742 nt
Filed under: uncultured Bacteroidota bacterium
Lineage: Bacteria; Pseudomonadati; Bacteroidota
Description: bacterial SSU rRNA
Rfam family: Bacterial small subunit ribosomal RNA
Source: RNAcentral